ACAAGAACAAUAACAAGCACUGCAAAAGACAAUAAAAAUAAGACGAAUCGGCUCACGCACAAUAAGAACAAGACGGCGGAGGCGCAGCUAACUGAUUCUUUUGGAGAGGAGUUGUAUUUGGGGCUUGCCCCACAACCAGGCAGAGAACAAUAAAAACUGCACUCAAGCAGGGCCUGAACUGGUUGGAUCGCAUGAUCAUUGCAACCUCAGCGACCAAAGCAAUCCGUUUGCUCUUGAUCCCGAUUAGGGAGACCGCCCACAAGCUUUUUUUGUGGGCAGGGCACUCAACAAAAACAAGAAGCCCGGCAAAAAAACAAUAAGAGCACGCAACUACUUCUUGGGGAGCUUCGGCUCCCCUUGUAGUUUCUGCCCGCCCCAGCCUGUCCGUGCG
This 391-nucleotide small RNA is filed under the name Pseudomonas sp. JV241A. RNAcentral's name for it is "CrcZ". It matches the Rfam family "Pseudomonas sRNA CrcZ". Lineage: Bacteria; Pseudomonadati; Pseudomonadota; Gammaproteobacteria; Pseudomonadales; Pseudomonadaceae. The record is from RNAcentral.